Molecule: ribosomal RNA, 1875 nt
Filed under: human gut metagenome
Description: bacterial LSU rRNA
Rfam family: Bacterial large subunit ribosomal RNA
Source: RNAcentral
UAAAGCAAAGAAGAGCGCAGAGUGAAUGCCUUGGCAUUGAGAGCCGAAGAAGGACGUGGUUAACUGCGAUAAGCAGCGGGGAGUUGUAAGCAAGCAUUGAUCCGCUGAUUUCCGAAUGGAGCAAUCCGCAUGAAGUAGUUCAUGCAUCCAUAUGUGAAUCAAUAGCAUAUGGAGGGGAACCGCCUGAACUGAAACAUCUAAGUAGGGCGAGGAAGAGAAAUCAACCGAGAUUCCGUAAGUAGUGGCGAGCGAACGCGGAAGAGGCCAAACCGAGAGAAGAAAUUCUUUCGGGGUUCGGACUGCAUUUAGUAUUCCUGAUCUUUAGUCGAACAGUCUGGGAAGGCUGACGAGAGAGUGUGAGAGUCACGUAGACGAAAAGGAGAAGGAGCGAGCAGGAUCCAGAGUACCGCGGGGCACGUGAAAUCCCGUGGGAAGAUGGGGGGACCACCCUCCAAGCCUAAAUACUACUCAAUGACCGAUAGCGUAUAGUACUGUGAAGGAACGGUGAAAAGAACCCCGGGAGGGGAGUGAAAAGAACCUGAAACUCUGUGCUUACAAGCACAUAGAGCACGUCAAUGUGUGAUAUGGUACCUUUUGUAGAAUGGUCCGGCGAGUUAUGGUAUGCAGCAUGGUUAAGGACUUGAGGUCUGAAGCCGAAGCGAGAGCGAGUCUGACAAGGGCGAUAAGUUGUAUGCCAUAGACCCGAAACCGGGUGACCUAGCCAUGUCCAGGCUGAAGUGGAGGUAAAACUCCAUGGAGGGCCGAACCGACCUCCGUUGAAAAGGCGGCGGAUGAGAUGUGGCUAGCGGAGAAAUUCCAAUCGAACCCGGAUAUAGCUGGUUCUCCCCGAAAUAGCUUUAGGGCUAGCGUUGUAUUAGAUUACCGGAGGUAAAGCACUGAAUGGGCUAGGGGCUGAGAAGUUACUGAACCCUAUCAAACUAAGAAUGCCGGAUAAUUGAUGUACAGCAGUCAGACUAUGUGAGAUAAGUCUCAUAGUCAAAAGGGAAACAGCCCAGACCCACAGCUAAGGUCCCAAAAUGGAUUUAAGUGGAAAAGGAUGUGGAAUUGCACAGACAACCAGGAUGUUGGCUUAGAAGCAGCCACUCAUUAAAAGAGUGCGUAAUAGCUCACUGGUCGAGUGACUCUGCGCCGAAAAUUUAACGGGGCUAAACUAUACACCGAAGCUUGGGAUACAUCUAAUGUAUGGUAGGAGAGCGUUCUGUAAGGGGAGAAGUCGUAGCGAAAGCGGCGGUGGACUUUACAGAAGUGAGAAUGCCGGAAUAAGUAGCGAGAAUUAAGUGAGAAUCUUAAUGGCCGAAAGUCUAAGGUUUUUGGAGGAAGGUUCGUCCGCUCCAAGUAAGUCGGGAGCUAAGGUCAGGCCGAAAGGCGUAGCCGAUGCACAUACGGUUGAUAUUCCGUAACCAUCUGUAAUUUAAGCAAAGGGACACUUCAAAAGGGUGUGACCCGGGCGUUGGUUGACCCGGGCGUAAGGGACCGAAAUUAGAGUAGGGAAGCACACUUAGCUGAAGGCGAGAAAAGCUUUGCGUAUAGAAACAGAUGCCCGUACCGCAAACCGACACAGGUGGACAGGAAGAGAAUUCUAAGGCCAGCGGGAGAAGGGUAGUUAAGGAACUCGGCAAAUUGACUCCGUAACUUCGGAAUAAGGAGUGCUCGAAAGAGCCGCAGAGAAUAGGCCCAGGCGACUGUUUAGCAAAAACACAGGUCUCUGCCAAAUCGAAAGAUGAAGUAUAGGGGCUGACACCUGCCCGGUGCCGGAAGGUUAAGAGGAGGAGUGAGAGCUCCGAAUUGAAGCCCCGGUAAACGGCGGCCGUAACUAUAACGGUCCUAAGGUAGCGAAAUUCCUUGUCAGGUAAG